Molecule: ribosomal RNA, 484 nt
Filed under: uncultured bacterium
Lineage: Bacteria
Description: partial 16S ribosomal RNA
Rfam family: Bacterial small subunit ribosomal RNA
Source: RNAcentral
AUUGAACGCUGGCGGCAGGCCUAACACAUGCAAGUCGAGCGGAUGAAGGGGGCUUGCUCCUGGAUUCAGCGGCGGACGGGUGAGUAAUGCCUAGGAAUCUGCCUGGUAGUGGGGGAUAACGUCCGGAAACGGGCGCUAAUACCGCAUACGUCCUGAGGGAGAAAGUGGGGGAUCUUCGGACCUCACGCUAUCAGAUGAGCCUAGGUCGGAUUAGCUAGUUGGUGGGGUAAAGGCCUACCAAGGCGACGAUCCGUAACUGGUCUGAGAGGAUGAUCAGUCACACUGGAACUGAGACACGGUCCAGACUCCUACGGGAGGCAGCAGUGGGGAAUAUUGGACAAUGGGCGAAAGCCUGAUCCAGCCAUGCCGCGUGUGUGAAGAAGGUCUUUGGAUUGUAAAGCACUUUAAGUUGGGAGGAAGGGCAGUAAGUUAAUACCUUGCUGUUUUGACGUUACCAACAGAAUAAGCACCGGCUAACUUCGUG